ACUGUCAUUCUUGAGUGCAGAAGAGGAGAGUGGAAUUCCAUGUGUAGCGGUGGAAUGCGUAGAUAUAUGGAAGAACACCAAGUGGCGAAGGCGGCUCUCUGGUCUGCAACUGACGCUGAGGCUCGAAAGCAUGGGUAGCGAACAGGAUUAGAUACCCUGGUAGUCCAUGCCGUAAACGAUGAGCGCUAGGUGUUGGGGACUUUCCGGUCCUCAGUGCCGCAGCAAACGCAUUAAGCGCUCCGCCUGGGGAGUACGACCGCAAGGUUGAAACUCAAAGGAAUUGACGGGGGCCCGCACAAGCGGUGGAGCAUGUGGUUUAAUUCGAAGCAACGCGAAGAACCUUACCAGGUCUUGACAUCCUGCGCUACACCUAGAGAUAGGUGGUUCUUCGGGGACGCAGAGACAGGUGGUGCAUGGCUGUCGUCAGCUCGUGUCGUGAGAUGUUGGGUUAAGUCCCGCAACGAGCGCAACCCUUGUCUUUAGUUGCCAUCAUUAAGUUGGGCACUCUAAAGAGACUGCCGGUGACAAACCGGAGGAAGGUGGGGAUGACGUCAAGUAUCAUGCCCCUUAUGACCUGGGCUACACACGUGCUACAAUGGGCAGUACAACGAGAAGCGAACCCGCGAGGUAAGCGGAUCUCUUAAAGCUGUUCUCAGUUCGGACUGCAGGCUGCAACUCGCCUGCACGAAGCUGGAAUCGCUAGUAAUCGCGGAUCAGCACGCCGCGGUGAAUACGUUCCCGGGCCUUGUACACACCGCCCGUCACACCAUGGAAGUCUGCAAUGCCCAAAGUCGGUGGGAUAACCUUUAUAGGAGUCAGCCGCCUAAGGCAGGCAGAUGACUGGGGUGAAGUCGUAACAAGGUAGCCGUAGGAGAACCUGCGGCUGGAUCACCUCCUUUCUAAGGAA
Molecule: ribosomal RNA, 907 nt
Filed under: Lactobacillus delbrueckii subsp. bulgaricus
Lineage: Bacteria; Bacillati; Bacillota; Bacilli; Lactobacillales; Lactobacillaceae
Description: bacterial SSU rRNA
Rfam family: Bacterial small subunit ribosomal RNA
Source: RNAcentral